Molecule: non-coding RNA, 18 nt
Filed under: Arabidopsis thaliana (thale cress)
Lineage: Eukaryota; Viridiplantae; Streptophyta; Magnoliopsida; Brassicales; Brassicaceae
Source: RNAcentral
CGGGUCGCGGUUGUGCUC